Molecule: long non-coding RNA, 1840 nt
Organism: Zingiber officinale
Lineage: Eukaryota; Viridiplantae; Streptophyta; Magnoliopsida; Zingiberales; Zingiberaceae
Exons: 2
Source: RefSeq, a predicted model, not a curated record
CCCUUCCCUAAUUCGCUAGAGCGCUAAUGGAACUAUAAAUAUCUCCUUUAGGAGCAACUUAGGAAUCUACUGAAGCAUCAUCCCCAUAGUCUUCUACUCGAUCCCUCGCCCUGGGCUUGCUUAUAAAAGGCGUAUCUACUUAGUUUUGCAACUAAGGAAGUAACGUGAGCAACUUCCUAAGCCUAAGCAAUACUAGUAAACUCAAAAGCCUAAGCCUUUGUUUCCGACUCAAAAGUGGAAUCCUCUGAAGUAAACUCAAAAGUGGAAGUUGUUGAAUCCUAAUCUGUUACCUCCCCUUCAAGUGGGUCCCUUUGCUUAUUCUGCAAAGCAGCCUUCUCCUUUAUUACCUCCUGAAUCCCCAAAAGCAGCAUUAUCUCCUUUAGGACCUGCCGGAUCUACUUUCUCUCCUUUUUUAGGAAGUGUGAACAAAUGUCUCUCCUUUUGAAGCCCCAUAUGCAUCACCCUAGUUUUUAUACUGUCUCGUAUGAUUCUUCUGCCUGAAAAGCCUCGAAUCCCUCUGGGUUCCCUCCUUUCUCUCCUUUAUCAGGAGCUGAAGAGUUUGAAGCAUCUGAAGCAGCUGAAGAGUUUGAAUCCUCCCCCUAGUAUUCUACUUUAGUAUCAACAGGAACACGCUUUGCCUCAUUGGAAGAUAUGAAUGAAGAGGUGAGGAAAGCAAAUUGGAAGCCUCUUGCGCUUACUAGAACAGGUCCUUUCCUUUCUCAUGUUUGCUUUGCACACGAUAUAAUGUUGUUUGGGGAAGCAAGUGAGGAACUGCUGCGAGUUAUGAUGGGGGUAUUGGAUUCUUUCUGUUCGGCUUCAGGGUCAAAGGUCAGCCUUCAAAAACCCAAAUUCUUUGUUUCAAAAAAUAUAUGCCAUUCUCGAGCAGUGGCUUUGAGUUCUUCUUGUCAGAUUCCCCUUACGUUACGGAUCUUGGCAAAUAUCUUGGUGCGCCAAUGAUCCAUGGAAGGGUGAUUAAACAAACCUACAAAGAUUUGAUAAGCAGAAUGCAAGCUCGGUUAGCUUUUUGGGAGAAAAACUUUCUAUCAAUGGCUGGUAGACUGAUUCUUGUACAGUGAGUUUGAUGCUCUAUCCCGAAUUACUUGAUGCAAACCUUUGACUUACCUGAUGGUGUUGUCCAAUAAAUUAAUAGAAUUCAAUAGAAUGAUUCGUGGCUUCUUAUGGGGUGAGACUAGUGGUGUUAGGAAAAUUAAUUCUAUUGCAUGGGAAAGAGUUUGCUUACCUAAGGAGCAAGGUGGUCUUAAUGUGAGAGAUACGCGUAAGGUGAAUUUGGCUCUUUUAGCAAAGUUGGGAUGGCAGAUUCUCUCUAAUAAAAAUUCCUUGUGGAUUGAAGCAGUUAAGAAGAAAUAUUUGAAGAAUGAGAAUUGAGUUUCGGUCUCUACUACAAGCUCUUGUUCUAGCACUUGGAGAAGUAUCUUGAAAGGGCGUUCUGUCCUUGAGCAGGGGCUUGGAAAAUUGGUGAGGAGUGGGAAGUCUACAAAGUUUUGGUUGGAUUCAUGGCUGCCAUGUGGCCCUCUAUUACCUCAUGCAAAAGUGGUGAUUGAGUGGGCAACAUGUUGCUGAAGAUUGAUUUAGAGAAGGCUUAUGACCGUAUUAGUUGGCACUUUUUGCGUUGGGUGCUGAUUGACUUGGGACUUCCUUCAACUCUCAUUUCUCUUAUUAUGUUCUGUCUGACUUCUACAGAAAUGAAUUUUUUGUGGAAUGGUGAAAUGACUUCUUACUACAAACCAUCUCGUGGAUUGAGACAAGGCGAUCCUUUGUCUCCAUAUCUUUUUGUUUUAUGUCUUCAAAAGCUUGAAGAUAUGAUUGAGAUGGCUGUUCA